Molecule: long non-coding RNA, 17264 nt
Filed under: Triticum aestivum (bread wheat)
Lineage: Eukaryota; Viridiplantae; Streptophyta; Magnoliopsida; Poales; Poaceae
Description: long non-coding RNA (TAES_LNC004613)
Source: RNAcentral
UUUUUUUGUUUUUUCAAGGUGUAUCCUUUACUUAUGUACUCAAGGAGAACGUCUGAGCUUCCCCAUCUUACUUUUUCAGGGCUGGGCAAAGAAGGUGGAGCUGGUCAAGUGUCCGGCUCCACUGCCCGAAGAACCAGCAAUUCCACUUCUGACGAAGAUGCUGGUUCCGGCGCCCUACCAGGCACCGGAGAAGAAAGCCAAGGGGACCAGAGGUGGCCUCCGCCACAAGGGCACUUCAUACGUGACGUCCGAAGAUGCCGAGACCCAUCCCCCCCCCCCACCACCACCGAUGACAAGGAGGAGGAGGAGGAGGAGGAAGAAAGCAACUCCCCCCUGAGGGGGGAAGGAAGAAAAGGGCGGCCUCCACGCAUCUUGAGGCCGAAGCGUCCAAGACGGGGAAAGCCUCCCUUGCGGACGACACCGCGUCGGAUACCAAUAGCAGCUCUAAGUGGCGCCCCAGGGAUAAGCCCCUGGCCGAAUUGUAAGUACCCGAAAGCACUGACACACUCAUAUGUCCAACUCCUUUACCUCAUAGUUUUAACAUGUAAAUCAUGCACUGUUGUCUGGCCCAUGACAGCCCCCAGCGGUCCUCAUCCUCGGGGGGUUCGUUGGAUCCGAAGGCAAUGGACGGCGGGUCCCUUCUGACGUCCACCUCUCCCAAAGCCACGGACGACGCCGAGGUGUUGUCCCGAAGGAACUGCCUUGGUCAGGGAGAGGUUCAGGUGGCCAUCAGGGUGGCGCCAGAGGGUAGUACCUCAGCCGCCGGACACAUGGGGGAGCAAAUCCCCCUGGAGAUUGGCGAUGGGGGCCGUAUCUAGUUCGGCCCCCAGCCGGACACUAUUCCGGAGGCACAUAUGGCUCCGGAAUCGAGCAAACAGCCUCCUUCGAAAGAGGGAGGUGCACCUAUCCCGACGGUGACCUCUGUCCAUCCAGAGUCACCGGAUACUCUAGUCGAAGCGCUGAGAAGUGCUUCCAUUGUUGAAGAACACCGUACUCUUAUGGGUACGGUGGUUGAGAGGGUUCGGUCCGUUAAGAGCGGACUGACCGAAGCCUGCACCAGCCUUUUGACCGGCUUUGAGGUAAGCGACGCAAUUAUGUAAAAAGAAUGUCACAGUAUAGACAGUAGCCCCUGAGACUCUGUCCGGUGUUCGGAAAGAAAGCCGGACUGAGGGUCAAAUGAUUUCCAUAGGAGACUAACCAUACAUGUCUAUGGGAAUGAACAGGCAUCACUGCUGGCUGCGGCCUCUCAUGCUGUCGAAGCCUCCGGACUGAAGCAGAGGCUGGAGCGGGCCGAGGAGAGCUCGGCCAAGCAAGGAAGCAGCUGGAGGAUAAGCAAGGUAUGUAAUGACCUGUUGUAUAUUUAGAAAGGGUAAAUGAUUUGCGUUGACCAAAGUGCCAUGACAUUUGUUAGGAGCGGCGGCCGAGGUAGAGACCCUCAAGAAGGCGCUGGCCGAGGCUGAGGAGAGAGCUGCCAAGGAACAAGCCGCCCGCAAAAAGCACGAGGCCAGGGUCGGCGAGGUCCAGCAAGAGCUCCAGAACGCCGUGAAGAAAUGCGAGUCCUUGGAGCGCAAUAUUGCGGAUUAAGAGACCGAACUCGCCAAGGCUCGCCAAAGCGCACAAGAUGCUCGGGUUGAAGCCCAGGGCGCUCUCCAGGAGAUUCAAGAGGCCAAGAAGAUUGCGGCGGGUAAGGCCUUCAUUAUGUAGAGCAAAUAUGUGAAGAAGAGGUAUCUCUUACUAACCCGGUUGGAGUUCUCCAGGAGCGUUUGCGGAGUUGCCGCGCAGUGUUGCCGAUGCUACAGAGUUCUUCCGAGCCGAAGAGGGGAGCUCGACGGAGAAGCUAUUCUGGUCACAAUACCUUGCACCAGAACAUCUGGUGCCCUUUAGCGACCAGCUAAAACAGAUGGUCGAACUACAUAGGGUGGCCGAACUAGCCAUGAAGGAUUUGAUAAUCCUGCUGUGGCCUGCCGAAGCUAUACCCAGCAGCUACUUCGGGCUCGUGAAGCGGCUGGUCAAUGCCUGCCCCCGGCUUGACAUCAUCAAGCGGUCGGUCUGCAUCGUGGGUGUGCGGAUGGCCUUCGCCCGCGUCAAGGUGCAGUGGGCGAAAAUGAACGCCAUCAAGCUCGCGACCGAGGGGCCGCCCACUGGCAAGGAGCACCGCACGCCCGAGCGGUAUUUUGAAGAUGUCCUAGAGGGAUCCCGCAUUGUAGCAGAGCAAUGUUCUAAGGAUGUUAUUUUUGAAUGAAAUACUUUCAUGUUAUCCUGUCCUGUAUGGUGAAACAAAGCUAUAAUGCUUGUUAUUAUUAAAAUUUUACCUCCUGUGCGGCCGUUUUUAUUAAAACUAAGAGUUGGCCAGUCGUCGGCUUCAGCCCCCACGUAGGUAGUACAGGGGUGUUCGGGAUGAAUCUAGACACUCUUGAUCCAAGUUUUUGGUCCUUGAAGGAGGUGUUUAGCGCAACGAACCAGGCAAUCGGACUAUGUGGCUUUAUCACCCACACUUAGCCAUAGGAGUUUGACAAUAAAAUUGUAGGCGCAGCCCCUAGUUAUCAUUUAAUCCGGACUAGAGUGUUGUGAACACCUGAUCGGAUGAAGGUCGAUUCAUCGCAUAAUGCGGAAAAAAUCAAAAAAGAUUUUUAACCUCCGAAUAGUUGACCAGCUCUCGCCGCAUCAUGACAGUCAGUUUUCAGCUUUCUCUACUGAGGUGCUCAUCCGGAUACCAGGACACAAUCGCAGUAGUUCUCCCUUUACUACCCUAGCCGAUAUAGCGGAACGUAAGGUAGUAAGCACAGGAGCCGGGCAACCCAACUAUUGACCAAAGACAUGAUUCGGAGCCGAUGCAUAUAAUGCUAAAAUUUGGGGUGCCGAACUGUACUGUAAAAAGUGUUCGGACUUUGUUGUCGUAGUAUGGGGCGCAAUGAAGCCCCUGGCCAAUUUAAGACGUACCAAGGUGUACGGGUGCAAGAGAAAUAGCGAAAAAAUGAAGUAGCUACGUAAUUUGGGUUGCAAACAGUUCUUGCUAUAAUUUGAUGAAUAUGUCAAAGCGUAUUUGUACAAAUAGUGCGAUAAGCAACCUGACUAUUUAACAUGCCGAGACCAAGGGAGAGCUGUGUGCGGGUCCUGAAAAUAGGUAGGACGAUCGUCGAAGAGAGCGUCUAGAGAUUCCCCCACACGUCUGUGCUACUUGCCGCCUUGGUGUAUCCGUCCUUCGAGAGGACAGCUGAGCAGGCCACCGCGAGGGGCCUACGGAGAAGGAACCUAGAAAGGAUAAAAAAGAAAAAGUGAAAGUAUGUGUGUCCGGAGAAGGUCGAAGCCAUAUUGUGGACCACAGUCUGGUUAUGCCUCCGUCUCUGUCCAUGGUAUUUUCAGUGCGUAGUUAUGUACGCGUGGUACGUAUGCCGCCAUUUUGUCAGGACUGAGAUGGAGGCCGAAUUGCUAGUCUGACUCCUGAAGAGCCGGACUUUCAAGCUGCGGAGUAGUCCGAACUCGUUUGACAGUGUCCUGGAGCUUGGCCACUGGAUUAAAAUUCUGCCUUAAAAGGCCGCUCUGUACUUCCGUUGCCAGGGCCGCGGUGUGUUCUUCAGUACGGAGGGGGCGCUCCGUGUUUCCAUUGAUUGUUAUGACCCCGCGUGGUCCGGGCAUCUUGAGCUUGAGAUAAGCAUAGUGUGGAACUGCAUUAAAUCAAGCGAAUGCGGUUCGUCCGAGCAGUGCGUGAUAGCCACUGCGGAAGGGGACGAUAUCGAAGAUCAACUCUUCGCUUCUAAAGUUGUCCGGGGACCCGAAGACAACUUCCAGUGUGAUUGAGCCCGUACAACGGGCCUCUACACCUGGUAUGACUCCUUUAAAGGUAGUUUUGGUGAGCUUGAUUCUUGAUGGAUCGAUGCCCAUUUUGCACACUGUAUCCUGAUAGAGCAGGUUGAGACUGCUGCCACCGUCAAUGAGGACUCGCGUCAGGUGGAAUCCAUCAAUUAUUGGGUCGAGGACCAGUGCGGCUGAACCGCCAUGACGGAUACUGGUCGGAUGAUCCCUGCGAUCGAAGGUGAUCGGGCAUGACGACCAUGGACUAAAUGUUGAGGUGACUGGCUCUAUCGCAUAGACGUCCCUGAGCACGCGCUUGCGCUCCCUCUUGGGGAUAUGGGUAGCGUAUAUCAUGUUCACUGUUUUGACCUGAGGGGGAAACUUCUUCUGUCCCCCUAUAUUCGGUGGACGGGGCUCCUCGUCAUCGUCUUCGCUUUGCGACCCCUUCUCCUUGUUCUCGGCAUUUAUCUUGCCGACCUGUUUAAAAACCCAGCAACUCCUGUUGGUGUGAUUGCUGGUUUAUCGGGGGUGCCGUGUAUCUGGCAUGGACGAUCGAGUAUGCGGUCCAAGCUGGAUGAGCCCGAAUUGUUCCUUUUGAACGGCUUCUUCCGCUAGCCGGACUUGGAGCCACUGAAUCCGUCAUUGACCGCCGUGUCAUCGGUAUUAUCGCCGUUGCUUCGACGCUUGUGUCUGUUGCGUCGGGGCUUGCCGUUGCUAUUUCUGGCUUCCGAAGUGCCAGGUUCGCUUGCGUUGUUAUUGCUACGGGCUAGCCAACUAUCUUCGCCCGCGCAAAAGCGGGUCAUAAGCGCCAUGAGGGCUCCCAUGGACUUCGGCUUUUCUUGGCCGAGGUGUCGGGCGAGCCAUUCGUCCCGGAUGCUGUGUUUAAAGACCGCUAGGGCUUCGGCAUCCGGACAGUCGACGAUCUGGUUCUUUUUGGUUAAGAACCUAGUCCAGAAUUUCCUGGCUGACUCUCCGGGCUGUUGAAUUAUGUGACUUAAGUCGUCGGCAUCUGGAGGUCGAACAUAUGUACCUUGGAAGUUGUCAAGGAAGGCUUCUUCCAAGUCCUCCCAGCUGCCAAUGGAGUUUUCGGGCAGACUGUUCAACCAGUGCCGAGCUGGUCCUUUGAGUUUUAGUGGGAGGUACUUGAUGGCAUGGAGAUCAUCACCGCGGGCCAUAUGAAUAUGGAGAAGAAAAUCCUCGAUCCAUACCGCGGGGUCUGUUGUCCCAUCAUAUGAUUCAAUGUUUACGGGUUUAAACCCUUCUGGGAAUUCGUGCUCCAUUACCUCAUCCGUGAAGCAAAGGGGGUGUGCGGUGCCUCCAUAUCGGGCCACGUCGCGACGUAGCUCGGAUGGAGUUCGUCUGCGGUUCUCGGCCCGGACGUGAUUAUGAUUGUUGCGUCCGGCUAGAUAGCCAUUGUCGUGUGUUGGGGCACGCCCCCGCGAUUCAUAGAUCGAUAUGUUCUGACCUGCUCUACUUUCCAGAUCCUGCCGCAGGUCAUAUGUAUGUCCCCGAGCUGUUUUAUCUUUGCCUUUAUGGUGAGGUGGUACGGGCUGGUGUUCGGCUUGAGUUGCCGCUUUGUCCCAGCCACGUGGUGGUCAGUCAGCCGCAUUGCGCGAUGACGGUACGGGCUCCAGCGCCUCGUCAUCGAACUGAGGUAGCAAUUUGCGCUUCGGAUAACUUUUGGCUGGGCGCUUGAGGCCGUAUUCCUUGGCUGCCAGGACAUUAGUCCAUCUAUCGUUGAGUAGAUUUUGGUCAGCUUGAAGCUGCUGCUGCUUCUUUUUCAGGCUCCUUGCAGUGGCUAUUAGCUGGCGCUUGAAGCGCUCCUACUCGAGAGGUUCCUUAGGCACGAUAAAAUCCUCGUUGCCAAGGCUCGCCUCAUCCUCGGAGAGCGGAAGAUAAUUACUAUCCUCCGAGUCUUCGUUUAUGGCCUGUUUAUCAGGGCUAACCUGCCUGUCUUCCCGUUCGUCCUGUUCGGAAGUUGGCUCAACGGGGUCUUCAUUGUCUUCGCAUCGUCCAGAGUAUUGUUUUCUCCUGUGUAGGUAUUGCUGUCUUUUCCACGGCGUCACUUGGAGCGGCGCCGCUGACGUCGGUGCUUUGGCUGUGAAAGAUCGUGGAUGUCGCCUAGAGGGGGGUGAAUAGGCGCUUUAAAAUAAUUAUGGUUUAGGCUUGAACAAAUGCGGAAUAAACCUAGCGGUUAAUUUGUCAAGCACAAAACCUACAACAACUAGGCUCACCUAUGUGCACCAACAACUUAUGCUGCAAGAUAAGUAACUAUGUGAUAGCAAGAUAUAUGACAAAGAACAAUAUGGCUAUCACAAAGUAAAGUGCAUAAGUAAAGGGCUCGGGUAAGAGAUAACCGAGGCACGCGGAGACGACGAUGUAUCCCGAAGUUCACACCCUUGCGGAUGCUAAUCUCCGUUUGGAGCGGUGUGGAGGCACAAAGCUCCCCAAGAAGCCACUAGGGCCACCGUAAUCUCCUCACGCCCUCGCACAAUGCAAGAUGCCGUGAAUCCACUAAGGGACCCUUGAGGGCGGUCACCGAACCCAUAACAAAUGGCAACCCUUGGGGGCGGUCACCGAACCCAUACACUUUGGCAACCCUUGGGGGCGGUCACCAGCACCCGUCAAAUUGCUCAGGGCGAUCUCCACAACCUAAUUGGAGACCCCGACGCUUGCCCGGAGCUUUACACCACAAUGAUUGAGCUCCGAACAACACCAAUCGUCUAGGGCGCCAAGGCACCCAAGAGGAACAAGCUCUAGGGUACCCUAACACCCAAGAGUAAUAAGCUUCUCAAACUUCACUUCCACGUAUCACCGUGGAGAACUCAAACCGAUGCACCAAAUGCAAUGGCAAGGGCACACGGAGUGCCCAAGUCCUUCUCUCUCAAAUCCCACCAAAGCAACUAAUGCUAGGGAGGAAAGUGAGAGGAACAACAAGAAGGAGAACACCAAGAACUCCAAGAUCUAGAUCCAAGGGGUUCCCCUCACAUAGAGGAGAAAGUGAUUGGUGGAAGUGUGGAUCUAGAUCUCCUCUCUCUUUUCCCUCAAAAACUAGCAAGAACCCAUGGAGGGAUUGAGAGUUAGCAAGCUCAAAGAAGGUCAACAAUGGGGGCAAAAACGAGCUUAAAGGAUAGGGAACCAUUGGGGAAGAAGACCCCCUUAAAUAGGUCCCCACGAAUCUGCCCGUUAUGUGCAGAAUAACAUAGGAGCAGUACAACAGCUAUGAGCACCGGUACAACCGGUAACAGGCAAUAAGCGGUACAACCGGCCCACAACCGCACCACAAUAGAAAUUAGUCCGGUGGUAGAGUGGUACAUGGCUGGUACAACCUUCGGACCAAUUCUGGAGCAGUACAACCGCUCCAAACACCGGUUGUACCGGUACAACCUCUCUAUGGGGCGGUACAACCUCUCUAUGAAAAACUGGCAAUAUCAAAACAGCCACAACUUUCGCAUACGAGCUCCGAAUUCGACGAAAUCAAGUUUGUUGGAAAGCUAAGGACAAGAGCAAACACAAUCUUGAUAGAAAUGUCAAGAAAUGGCAAUUGAGAAAAUACCCAAAGUAAAAUGGUGAGAACCCUUUCUCAAUUAAGACCGAUAAAAACUCCAACACCGAAAACACAAAAGAAGAUGCAUAUGAAAUCGGUUUUCGAUGAACUCGAGCUUGUCAAGAAGAUGAUCAUGAGAUCCAAAUCUCACAAGGAGAAGAACCAAACAAGAACCAAGAGAGAUGAUGCAAGGAUCCAAUGGUUUGAGCUCUUGACGAACGAUACGAUCAAGCUACUCACUAGAGAGCCCCCCUUGAUAGUACGGCAAUCGAUCCUACAACCCGGUCUCCCAACUACCACUAUGAGACCGGUAAAAUAGAAAACCUAUCAAGGGAAAACCUUUUCCUUGCACAUAGUCCACUUGAGCUAGAUGAUGACGAUCUUGACUUCCUCAAGUUGGACCACCUUUCUUGAUUGUGUUGGCUCGAUGAAGACUAGUUGAUUGCUCCCCCAUACUCCACUAUGGGUGAGAAACUCUUCGGCACAUCUUCACAAUUCCAUUGACACCACAAUGGACGGAAAGCUUCAAGCUUGAUUGCUCCCCCAUAAUACAUUAUGGGUGAGCCACUCUUUGUGUUGCGCCACUUGAACUUACACACUGCAAACUUGAUGACGAUCACCACUUGAUGUCAUCCUCCAUAGGUUGUAUGAGAUCUUCCUCUUGAUGCAAUACCAUGGAAACAUACCUAACCCCACAAAGAACUCUCACGUAGACCAUGGGUUAGUACACAAAGCGUAAUGGACAAUGCAUACCAUACCAUGGGAUCACUUGGUCCCUCUUGGUACAACUUGUGCUAUUUGUGUGUUGAUCAACUUGAAUCACUCUCUAUACUUAGUCUUGAUCAACCUUGAAUCUUUCCAACUCUCUUCAUUAGGAUGAUGUCUUGAAGGUAAACUUGAAUGUUCACAAUCUUCUUCUUCAAGACAUGCUUGCGAUAAGCUCAACUCUCACAUGACCAAUCUUUGGAUAAUUCCUUGAAAAGCACUUUGGCCAUCUCAUAAACUCCUUGAAACCAACACAUGGACUUCAAGACAAUCCUAUGGACAAAUCCUUCAAAUAUAACUCAAGGCAACCGUUAGUCCAUAGAGAUUGUCAUCAAUUACCAAAACCACACAUGGGGGCACCGCAUGUCCUUUCAGGCUGUAUCUCAGGAGGUUUAUCCUCGACCGGGUCUUCCUUGUCGUCGCCUCUAUUCUCUUUGGGUGUAUCCACCAUGUACACGUCAUACGAGGAAGUGGCCGCCCAACGUUCGGUAAACGGCGGGUUUUGGGCCUCCUCUUCUCCGGCAUCGUCGUCCAUACCGUCGAUGUCUUCGGAGCCGUAAUCGAGCAUGUCGGUUAAGUCCUCGACAGUGGCUAUGAAGUGGCAAGCAAAAUUCCCUAUCAUCAACCCCUAGUUCGAACCAGAUAUAAUUCGGCUGUGAGCCCCCUGCUAAGGAGAGGGUUUUUAAUGAGUUCAGCACAUCGCCUAAAGGUGAGUGCCGGAAGAUGACCGUGGCGCUGAAUUUGAUGACCGGGGCCUGAUCGGGCUCGACGGGCGCGGACACGCGUGAUUCAGAACCUAUGGCCGGAGACGAAUUCGAGGUUCCGGUGACAUAGGUCAUCCUUGAGGUUGGGUCUAUGCGCGGCUCCAGCGCCGCUGAGUUUGCGGCUCCUGUGGCGGGGUUGAGCUUCCCGUCCUCGGAUGGCGCAAUUUGCUCCGGAUCUAGGGCCGGAGCACUUACAGGUGCUAUCCCCUGGGUAUGGUCCGAUGAAAGAUUUAGGUCAUGCUCAUCGCGGUGGCAGGGAGCGGCUGCCGUGGGCUCGAAUCCGUCGAAGAUCAAGUCUCCGCGGGUAUCGGCAAUGUAGUUCAAGCUUCCAAACCUGACUUGAUGGCCAGGGGCUUAGCUGUCGAUCUGCUCUAGAUGGCCAAGCGAGUUGGCCCGCAGUGCGAAGCCGCCGAAUACAAAGAUCUGGCUGGGGAGAAAAACUUCCCCGGAUAGCAUUGUUGUAGAUGAUUGACGGGGCCGUCGAACCUCUCGAAGACGACGCAGCAGAACUCUCAAUGGAAGCACCAAUGUCGGUGUCAAAACCGGCGGAUCUCGGGUAGGGGGUCCCGAACUGUGCGUCUAAGGUCGAUGGUAACAGGAGACAGGGGACAUGAUGUUUACCCAGGUUUGGGCCCUCUCUAUGGAGAUAAUACCCUACUUCCUGCUUGAUUGAUCUUGAUGAAUAUGAGUAUUACAAGAGUUGAUCUACCACAAGAUCGUAAUGGCUAAAACCCUAGAAGUCUAGCCUGUAUGAUUAUGAUUGUGAUUCUCCCUAUGGACUAAACCCUCCGGUUUAUAUAGACACCGGAGGGGACUAGGGUUGUACAAGGUCGGUUACAGAGAAAGGAAUCUUCAUGUCCAAAUGCCAAGCUUGCCUUCCACGCCAAGGAGAGUCCUAUCCGGACACGGGUGAGAGUCUUCGGUCAUGUAUCUUCACAGCCCAUCAGUCCGGCCCAUGUCCAACAGGCCAGACGCCCGAGGACCCCUUAAUCCAGGACUCCCUCACAUGUGAGUGUCCCUUGGUUGAUGCAUGAAGAGACAAAUUUGUUGCACCGCGUAUGAUAUGUCCGGACGGGUGAGUGCUAGGUAUUGCAAGGCGCCAGCAAGACUGCGAUAGGUGGUUGGGUUGGAAAGGAGAUGACCAUCUGUGGCCGAAAUUUUGGCAUUAGUGUCGAUUGGUGUGGAAACGGAUUUGUAGUUGAGCGUGUUGGCGCGGUCUAAAACCUCUAAGGUGUACUGUUGUUGGCUCAAGAACAAUCCGGAGGUGUUGGGAGUGACAUUAAUCCGAGGAAGUGAUGUAAUUCACCUAGGUCGGACAUGGAAAAUUCUGCUUUGAGAGAAUGGAUGAUGGAAUGCAGAACGUGAGGUGUACUUGUCGUAAGAAUGAUGUCAUCUACGUACAUAAGGAGGUAUGCAAUGGAGGACCCGUGCGACAUAAUGAAGAGUGAUGAGUCCCUUUUGGAUGCAUGAAAACCAAGAGAUAGAAGAAAUGACUUGAAGCGAUGAAACCACGUACGGGGGGCUUGUUUCAAGCCAUAGAGAACUUACGAAGGAGACAAACAUGAUCCGGGUGAGAGGGGUCGAUGAAGCCGGAUGGUUGGGCACAAUAUACAGUCUCCUUGAGCUCUCCAUGAAGAAAUGUGUUCUUGACAUCGAGUUGAUGGAUAGGCCAAGAACAGGAGGUGGCAAUGCUGAGUACCACACGGAUCGUGGCCGGUUUCACCACCGGACUAAAUGUCUCAUCAUAGUCCACGCCUUCCUUUUGAGUGAACCCGCGAACAACCCACCGAGCUUUGUACCGCGCCAAGGAGCCAUCAGGGUUGAACUUGUGGUGAUAUAUCCACUUGCUAGUGACCACAUUAACACCUGCAGGUUUGGGAACCAAAGACCAAGUCGAAUUCUUGAUUAAAGCAUUAAAUUCAUCUUGCAUUGCAUGUAGCCAAUGUGGGUCUUUGAGGGAUGAGCGAUAUGUGGCUGGGAUGGGUGAGAUGGUGGACUCCGUGUGGGUAGUGAGAAAGAGGCGCUUGGGCUGGCAAAAACCAGAUUUGGCAUGUGUGCGCAUUUUAUGCGUUAACAGGAGGUGGGAUCGAGAUGGCACGGGGAGGACGAUGUGGCGGAGUCUGCUAGGCUGAAGCGGAUUCGCUGGGGCCGGAAGUGGGCACGGGAUCCGGAGGAGAUUCGGUCAGAGGAGCAGCGUACGAGGUGGAGGCGCGAUCCGAGGCAGAUCGGCUGGCAGCGCUGCCGGCCCCGCGGGAGAACUGGUGUGAGGUUGCGCUGCGGUCCCACGGGUGGGGACGGCCCGGGAGACGAGGAGGACUCGGUUGGGCUGGCGGAGCGCGUGGGGGUGGAACGCGUGGAGCGGGGGUGGCUGACCGGUGUGCGGGGCGACGCGACUGGCGGAUCGCUGGUGGGUGCGGGUGCGCACGGGUGGGGUGACCCAGCCGGUGCGUUGGGAUCGGGAAGUGUCAACUGCAGCGGGAUACGGUGGUUGGGAUGGCGAAGUGCGGGCUGGGCGACGGUGUGGGAGGCACGUAUGGAAAAAUUGACUCAUCAAAAACAACGUGGCGAGAGACUAUGACGCGGCAUGAAUCUAAGUCGUUGCAUUGGUAGCCUUUGUGCUCAAGUGGGUACCCCAAGAAGACACACGUAUUGAGGAGAUUUGGAAAGCAAAGGCAACCAAAGACCCGAAGGUGAUCGUAGGUGGGAUGAACGCCGUGGAGACGAUAGUAAGGCGUAUGGCCAUGAAUGGCAUGUGAUGGUCGACGAUUUAGGAGGUAUGUUGCCGUGUGGAGAGCCUCAACCCAAAACGGUGGAUUAAGAUUGGCUUGAAAAAUGAGUGUACGCACAACGUCAUUGGUGGUGCAGAUGAGGUGUUCGGCCUUGCCAUUUUGAGGUGAGGUGUGGGGACACGAAAAAUAGUAGGAGACGCCGUGCGUGGAGAAGGAGCGGAGGGUGGAGUUGAUGAACUCACCGCCAUUAUCACAUUGGGUGGCCUUGAUGACAACGUUGUAUUGGGUUCGAACAUGAGCAAAGAAACGUUGUAGAGUGGAGGACAGUCCGAUUUGCGCCGUAACGAAAAUGAGCAAGAGAAGUGAGAAUAAUCAUCGAGGACAACCAAGUAAUAUUCAUAGCCGGAGAAACUCACGACCGGAGAGGUCCACAAAUCACAAUGAAUGAGCUCAAAUGGCGCAUAAGUGCGGCUAGUAGAGGAGGAGAAAGGUAGUCUAGGUUGGUGCCCUAAUUGGCAAGCAGUACAAGGGCCAUUGUAUGACUUGUUACAUUGGAAGGGAAAAGCACUAGUAAUGGAGUUGAAAGAUUGAUUGCUUGGGUGGCCUAGGCGACGAUGCCACACAUCACCGUCGGAGGUGGUAGCGGAGAGGGCAGUACACCGCGUCGUGUUAUUGCCGAAGAACGGGUAGAGGUUGCCGGAGCUAGCGGAGAUUAGGAUUACCCUCCGUGUUCGAAGAUCCUUCACAAGAAAACCAAAUGGGUAAAAUUCGAUGGAACAAAAAUUAUCUUUGGUAAAUUGGCGGACGGAGAUGAGGCUAGUGGUGACGGAGGGGGAGAAAAGAAUGUUGCGUAGAUGGAAAUUAUGGGGAGGGAGAGAGGUGGAGCCGGUGGCAUGAAUGGGAAGAUGAUGGCCAUUGCCUACUACAAUGCUAGAGAAUUUACGUUGUAAAGAAGAAAUCGAAUGGUUGAGGUUACUAGGGUUGCCGGUGACGUGGUUGGAGGCGCCACUGUCGAGGUACCACUCGUUGGAGGGGGCGGUGUUGUUGAAGCCCUGGUUGCUAUAGGCGGCGUGAAGAAGGGCCAUGUGAUCCCAUGACGGCUGCUGGUAUGGAGAGGGCGGGGCGUACGACGAGUACUGCAUCGGGUACGCUUGAGCAUCAGGUCCCGGACGGGGACCGAGGACACCAGCGGCGUUUGGAGGCACCCAGCCAGGGCGCGGUGGAGGGAUGGCCAUGCCGUAUGGAGCGAAGAACCCCAUGUAUGGGUUGUACGGCGCGGAGGACGAGCCACCACGACCUUGUUGUCCGCCGCGUCCACGGCCAUGUCCACGGCCGCGCCUGCAUCCUCAGUCGCCACCGCGAUCACCACUGUCGCCGCGGGGGUUGGAGUCGCGCCCAGGGGCACGAUCGUUGCUGUGGUCCUGAAGCCGAUCCGCCCGAUCGCCCGGGCGGGGAGUGGAGCAACCGCCGCUGCUGGAUCCGGAGGCACCGGAGGGUCCACCGAGCCCAUGGACGGCGAGGACCGUGGCCGGGGCCUCGGUGGUGCGUUGAGCGAGGUUUUCCUCGGCGAGCUUCAGGCGCGAGAACACGGUCUCAAACGGGGCAAGGGAACCGUGUCCCCCAGCACGACCCGGAUGGUGUCGAGACGGCCGUCGAUGCCGUGGAGGAACUGUGUGGUGAGAUCCACCUCGAAGACCGCAUGGUCGAUGUCAGCGAGACCGGCGGUGAGCAGCUUCAUGCGGCGCGCAUAUUCGUCGACAGAGAGAUCGCCCUGUUUGAGGUUGUGGUAUUGACGAUUGAGCAUCAUACAAUGUACAGGUACAUGUUAACAGUAAUACCGUACUUUAGUUCACAUUACUCCGGCGUGCUGAAUUUAAGUACCAACACAAACAAAUUUAGCUUACACAGUUCCGCUUUGUAGCAAAUGAAUAUGUUCAUGAAACAUAACUGCUUCUAGCAACAACAACAACAAAACAGAUGGCUGUUUGGAUAACAUGAUAGGCAUGCCGUCACUAUUCGGUCCUGUUCUUUAUAGCAAGAUGCAAAGAGAGAAGUGCCUUCGGCGGUUCGGCCCAAAGACAUGUAGUUCAGCAACGGUGCAGAUAAAAAUCUGACCUAUUAACUAUCCAGUGCCGUGUUCCUUUGCCAUCUCUGCAAAAAUCAGUCUGCCGCGUAGAAUCUGAAAAAAAGGGACAAAAUCAGUUAAGAAACUUAAAGUCCAAGCAGACGGUGCUGCAAACACGCCAAAUCAGGUAAUAUUAAAGCCGAUACCGGUUAGCAUCAUGCUCGAACAUUGAAAUUUGCACACAGUUGUCAUUACAACAAAUGGUUUUCACUGCUCAAAUCCAAAUAGUUUGGAGUGAGAUGAUGGUAAUGUCAAGAUAAAAGCAUCACCUAAUGAAAAAUGACAAGAUCCCAGAUGGCUGGCAAUUUGGCAAAUGUAAAGACAAGAAUCUGAACACUGAACAGAGCAAUUCCUGACUAUUCUGAUGCUAUUUCAAGAAACUGUGUUCCUCACAAUUGCAUCGAAAAGAUAAAUAGCUAAUUUGCGGCACUUCCUGACUUGGUAAUGCACAAAAAGGCCUAAAAUGCAUUUUAGUAGCAAAUGGUAGAAACCAGUCUACGACACUAGUUAAAAAACACCUUUGAUUAUGACGUUCGUGGUCUGUUCACAUAGUAAGUUUGCAAACUCAUGUUGUGGUUAUACAUGGGGUGUAAUUGCUACAACUAAGGCUCUAGAGAUGACCACUUCUCUCUUUGGAGAAUUCUCCAGGUAAAUGCCUUGUCUAAUGCAGUUCUUAGUUUAAGAGCCUGUGAAUAGAAAGCGGUAAAAUGUAGCGACAAAACAGCUGAGGGAAAUUGCGCCACUUAAUAUGUGAAAUAGUAGAUGAAAAGACAAAAAACCAUGAAUCACAAAACAAGUUAGUUUAACCAAAUCUACCAGAAAAGGCGUUCUCACUAGUCAACAGAGAAAAACCAACGCAUGCUUCAUGUGAAUAAACUAGAAAAUGCUUUAGAUAAAGAGCCAACUCUGUUACAACAAGAAUCUUUAUUAACCUUAAAUUAUGUUGAAAACAUUGUUAACAAGAGUAAACACAGAAACAUGGCUUCUACCAGUCGACCUGACUGGUGGACCAACGUGGCCCAAAUGCUCUAUGUACACUUCUUGUCAUCACUGGAAGAUGGUAAAGGAAGGCUGACAUAAGACCACUGUACAUAUUUAGUGAAUUUAGAAUUAAUGUAGGUACCUCUUAACACAUUGCAGGUCUAAUUAUUUUGUUACAGAAGUCAAUACCCUUAAGCAGUAUUCAGAAGAAUGACCCUAUGGUUUUCUUGCGUACACCAGCAUUGUCAGUUUUGGCGACAAAUGACUAAACAUGAGAGAUUAGGGUUUUUCUUUUACAAAUGACCUCAAAGGUCCUGGUUAUUUGAUAAAAGCAAUGUCACCAAGAGUUGUGGUUUAUCACAUUAUCCCUAAGAUGUGUUUCUGUGCACUUUACUCUAUUAACAAGGUGUCUACACAAGGUAGUUUCAGUUGAGGAAGGAAGGAGUAUCAGCGGCAAAGAGUUAUGGCUCCAUUUUUUUCUCCAGUGGAACUUCAGCACAGUUUCCUCUAGAGUAAAUGGCAAUCAUGAAUUCUCAGUUUAUAAAAUUAUCAAUGUGUCAGCACCAGCAAAUGAUGUUUGAAGGUUACACCCAAGAUAGUAGGUAAGCAGUGUGCAUACCCUUCCAUCCAUUGCCUUGAUAGCUUUCUGUGCCUCCUCUUGUGAUGAAUAUCUUACAAAACCAAAUCCCUUCAGCCUUCCAGUUUGGUUGUCUCUCACUAACCGAACUAUAUUUGAUAGAAACAGAUAGCAGCAUUAAACCAAAAUAUUUCUAUGGAACUAACAUAAUAAGAAAGUAUCAGUAGGAAACAAUGACAAAGAUUUACAAUUCCAUGUGGCAAACAGCGUCACACUAGUUCAAAAAUGGCAUAGAUACCUUCCUCAAUGGCGCCAAAUGGUGAGAAGACCUUUUUAAAUUCUUCCUCCGUUGUGUAAAAUGAUAACCCUGACAAAAGAAUCUAGAUGGAUGAAUAAAUGUUACAUGUUAUAUCUGCAUUUGCAGAUUUAAAAGGCAGCAUGAGUUAAAUUCUUGGCGCAUAAUUCCCUGUGAGCAGAAUAUGUAGAGAUUCAUUUCAUAAAUGGUACUCCCUCUGUACCAAAAUAUACGACUUUUUUGACACUAUGACAGCGUCAAAAAACGUCUUAUAUUUUGGUACAGAGGGAGUCGAACAUAUAUGGUGAUCUUACGAAUUAAAAUGAAGAGGCAAACUGCAACACUAUCACUAUCUUUGUUGUGUAUGUGUACUUCAGGUCCGUGUCAACAAUGUGCACCCCUCAACCACAACAAUUUGCAGCAAGACAAACUAGAGAUGAAAACAAAUUGUUCACCAGACAUUUCAUCCAAGAUGAUAAAGUGCCACCCAAGUAGAAUAGAUACUAAAUUUCAGGUGGUAAAACGGCAACCAGUCUACUUUUGGCAUAAGCGACUUGUGGCUACAAAUUGUACUGCCCAUACAGCAACAAUUAGUUUUCAUCAACACACAUAAUCAGUCGGCAUGUGUGAAACUUCAUCAGCACUAGAACAGGAAAAGAUAACGUUAGGCAAACCCAUCCAGCCCGUGAUAAAGUUCUCAAAAGAUGGUAGUAUGAAGCAUCCGUGGUGUUGCUAUGUAACUGUCCAGAGGAAUCAUAUUAUAAAGCUCCUAUCAGUAGCAGGCUCGAAACAUUCCCUGGCGUUCAUGUUCAUAAUGAAAAAGAAAGCAAAGGAGACCGGCACCACACCAACCAGUGCUCAAUCCAUCCACACCCAAACAACUUCAGCCACAGGCGAACAACACUCUCGAGCAUGAGCCAGAGGUAUCAGACAAUAAUCGUCACCAUAAUCACACAGCACCAAUUCAUCGCAUACAAGGAGUACCAAGCAUUUUAUUCAAGCACGGGAAUGGGGUGAAAACAGAGGAUGAUUGCUUACUGCUCACAAAUAUCUCGGUGCUGAAGCCAUGGGAACCCAAGUGACGAGAGGCCAAACGCAUCACCCUCCCUCGCAACAUCAUCGGCAGUGGCGGCGGCGUCGACGGCGGCUCGAGCACCCACUCCCUCAAACCCUAGAUCCCCAAUUAUUUUGGCAGAAUGACGCAACAGCUAGCAGAUUGAGAAGUCACAAACAACCUCUCCCAUUAAAUGAAAUCAAAGCCGUCCAUCACAACCUGACACGAUUUACAAAGCAGGCGCGCUACCUACCUAGAACGAUACACAUGGACACGACCGACGGCAACACAGAAGCUAGAGGAGAACACGGCGACGGAACCCUAGAGAUACACCUUCCCUCCCUAGUUGCUGGUGAACUUGGUGACGGCCUUGGUGCCCUCGGAGACGGCGUGCUUGGCGAGCUCGCCGGGGAGGACGAGGCGGACGGAGGUCUGGAUCUCCCUGGACGUGAUGGUGGGCUUCUUGUUGUACCUGGCCAGCUUGGCCGCCUCGCCGGCGAGCUUCUCGAAGAUGUCGUUGAUGAAGGAGUUCAUGAUGGACAUGGCCUUGGAGGAGAUGCCGAUGUCCGGGUGCACCUGCUUGAGCACCUUGAAGAUGUAGAUCUUGUAGGUCUCCACGCUCUUCUUGUUCUUCU